Oncorhynchus masou masou (cherry salmon) is the source of this 1675-nucleotide long non-coding RNA. RefSeq lists it as uncharacterized. The record is from RefSeq and is a predicted model, not a curated record. The transcript is spliced from 3 exons. Lineage: Eukaryota; Metazoa; Chordata; Actinopteri; Salmoniformes; Salmonidae.
GUGUGUGUGUUGGGCAAGUCUGCAGAUCUGGUUGGGUGAGACUGGGCUAUAUAAUAGGGCGGAGCAUAAAGCCAAAGCUUUCUCCGUAGUUCCAGUCACACUGUUGGGUACCCAAACUACCAGGUGCUCUUCGGUUGUCUGGGUGCUAGAUGGUUGGAAUUCAGACUGGCCAGUUGGAGUAGCAGCUACAGGAUCUUUAACACAGAGCCUGUGGAAGGUGUGGAGGAUCCAACAGUUUUUUGUUUUGUUUUUUUACGACUGCAUUCCGGACCGCUUUUUGCCCAGGAGCAAGUCGGAAACCCGAAAUUUCUAGUAAUUUUUUUUUUUGGUGCAUUCCUCCUUUUUUCCUGAACAAAAGGGUGUAAUCACAACCAGGUCUCCGCACAAAGAGACUAACCCCAGACCCACUACAGACAUGAUCAUCAGACUGGGCAGACUAACACCUGGAUACUUCCGCCUCCUACAGAGACAGGUGGCGGGUGAGGUGCAGACCCAGCCACAGGACCGCGUGGUCAACCAGAUAGCCAUGAUGCUGGCCAUCAUGGGCCUAAGCCUGUCCUACUACAGUGCCAAACGGAUGACCGAGAAGGUCCAGAGGCUCCAGAAGAGAAGAGAUCCCCAUACACCCUGAACCUGGAGAGAAGACGAACCAACGCAGAGAUGUUGUGGAGAGGAGACAUGGAGAUGUCGGUGUCCAGAACAACACCUUUUCACAACCAAUCAGUCAUAGUCACGUCGUUCACACACUGGAGUUUUACUGGGAUCACUCUCAAUGCGAGGAGAGUUCGGGGGCUGCUGCUUUUAAGGGUAUCUUGUUAAUUUUUCACACCAAUUUGGGGGGGGGGGGGGGGUGUGUGUGUGUGUGAAGAAAGGCCCACGGUGGGGUUCGUGUGGUCCUGAUAAGCUGUCUAUGGUAAGGCUGGGCCUGAGCUUUAGUUGUUGCCAAGGUACAUGCGUGCAAGAUGCCAUCAAUACUGUUCUGCGCUAAAAAGGGAUAGAACAAUGCCAAACGAAUUAUUCUAAUGUACUGUGAAACUUGCCAGUGCUCCAAGCAUAUGACUGUGUGUAAAAUAACUGAACAGUAAUUAUUUUUUAAGGGAAGGCUAUCUGCAUUGGAGAUGUAUCUGGUAAUGACUGAAGGCAGGCCCAUAGUGUAAGGAGGAAGUAAGCUUCUUAGGUUUUUGUCAUUUCUUAUUGUUAAAUAAAAGUGAGCCAUGUGAAGUAGAUGUGGAUGAGGAGUCUCAAACUGGUCAAUAAUUCCACACAUCUUUAAUAUCUGAUAACGUCAGAUGCAAAAAAAAAACUGUGAAAGUGAAAUGCAAUAUUUGAUCUUUUUUAGGAACUUGCUUAUCCAAAUCUAUGAAAAGGCACUUUAUCCAAAUAACAACUUUGUUUUUCCCACAAUGUUUCCAGUUGAAUCGAUUUGAGUCUUGAUAAUGAACGUUGGCUUUCUUUAAAGAAUUCGAUCUGCAAAAGCUACUAGGUGUUACCACAGAAUAUUCUAACUUCAGUAAAUGUUGCAUGGGUGUGCAGCUUUUAAUCUCUACAUAAAACUUCAUUAAUACUGUCACUUUUAGUUUUUUAUAGAAUCAUAACAUGAAUGUAUAUUUCUGUGAUGUUUAGAAAAAUCAAAUAAAGCUGUGACUUGAAUGAUAAGAACAGUGGCAGUUUAGUA